RNAcentral lists this ribosomal RNA (468 nucleotides) under uncultured bacterium. Its description in RNAcentral is "partial 16S ribosomal RNA". It matches the Rfam family "Bacterial small subunit ribosomal RNA", at positions 28 to 507 of the family's 1533-position model. The record is from RNAcentral.
GACGAACGCUGGCGGCGUGCUUAACACAUGCAAGUCGAACGGUGAAGCUCCAGCUUGCUGGAGUGGAUCAGUGGCGAACGGGUGAGUAACACGUGAGCAACCUGCCCCGGACUCUGGAAUAAGCGCUGGAAACGGCGUCUAAUACUGGAUACGAGAAGGGUCCGCAUGGGCACUUUCUGGAAAGUUUUUCGGUUGGGGAUGGGCUCGCGGCCUAUCAGCUUGUUGGUGAGGUAAUGGCUCACCAAGGCGACGACGGGUAGCCGGCCUGAGAGGGCGACCGGCCACACUGGGACUGAGACACGGCCCAGACUCCUACGGGAGGCAGCAGUGGGGAAUAUUGCACAAUGGGCGAAAGCCUGAUGCAGCGACGCCGCGUGAGGGAUGACGGCCUUCGGGUUGUAAACCUCUUUCAGCAGGGAAGAAGCGAAAGUGACGGUACCUGCAGAAGAAGCACCGGCUAACUACGUG